AGCGUAGGCGGCGUGGUAAGUCAGAUGUGAAAUCCCGGGGCUCAACCCCGGAACUGCAUCCGAUACUGCCAUGCUAGAGGAUUGGAGAGGUAGCUGGAAUUCUUGGUGUAGCAGUGAGAUGCGUAGAGAUCAAGAGGAACACUCGUGGCGAAAGCGAGCUACUGGACAAUUCCUGACGCUGAGGCUCGAAGGCUAGGGUAGCGAAAG
This 207-nucleotide ribosomal RNA is filed under the name uncultured bacterium. RNAcentral describes it as "partial 16S ribosomal RNA". It matches the Rfam family "Bacterial small subunit ribosomal RNA", at positions 568 to 774 of the family's 1533-position model. The record is from RNAcentral.